UACAGAGGGGGCAAGCGUUGUUCGGAAUUACUGGGCGUAAAGGGCGCGUAGGCGGCCUGCUAAGUCGAACGUGAAAUCCCCGGGCUCAACCCGGGAACUGCGUCCGAUACUGGCAGGCUUGAAUCCGGGAGAGGGAUGUGGAAUUCCAGGUGUAGCGGUGAAAUGCGUAGAUAUCAGGAGGAACACCGGUGGCGAAGGCGGGUCUCUGGGCAGUAACUGACGCUGAGGAGCGAAAGCGUGGGUAGCGAACAGG
RNAcentral lists this ribosomal RNA (253 nucleotides) under uncultured bacterium. RNAcentral describes it as "partial 16S ribosomal RNA". It matches the Rfam family "Bacterial small subunit ribosomal RNA", at positions 524 to 776 of the family's 1533-position model. The record is from RNAcentral.